ACGAACGCUGGCGGCAUGCCUAACACAUGCAAGUCGAACGAGACCUUCGGGUCUAGUGGCGCACGGGUGCGUAACGCGUGGGAACCUGCCCUUAGGUUCGGAAUAACUCCCCGAAAGGGGUGCUAAUACCGGAUAAUGUCUUCGGACCAAAGAUUUAUCGCCUUUGGAUGGGCUCGCGUUGGAUUAGCUAGUUGGUAGGGUAAAAGCCUACCAAGGCGACGAUCCAUAGCUGGUCUGAGAGGAUGAUCAGCCACACUGGGACUGAGACACGGCCCAGACUCCUACGGGAGGCAGCAGUGGGGAAUAUUGGACAAUGGGCGAAAGCCUGAUCCAGCAAUGCCGCGUGAGUGAUGAAGGCCUUAGGGUUGUAAAGCUCUUUUACCCGGGAUGAUAAUGACUGUACCGGGAGAAUAAGCUCCGGCUAACUCCGUG
This 432-nucleotide ribosomal RNA is filed under the name uncultured bacterium. RNAcentral describes it as "partial 16S ribosomal RNA". It matches the Rfam family "Bacterial small subunit ribosomal RNA", at positions 29 to 507 of the family's 1533-position model. The record is from RNAcentral.